UCGCGGCUUAUCACCGGCAGUCCCCCUAGAGUGCCCAACUAAAUGAUGGCAACUAAGGGCGAGGGUUGCGCUCGUUGCGGGACUUAACCCAACACCUCACGGCACGAGCUGACGACAGCCAUGCAGCACCUGUGCAUCUGUCUCUUGCGAGAACACCGUAUUUCUACGGCUGUCAAAUGCAUGUCAAGUCCAGGUAAGGUUCUUCGCGUUGCAUCGAAUUAAACCACAUGCUCCACUGCUUGUGCGGGUCCCCGUCAAUUCUUUUGAGUUUUACCCUUGCGAGCGUACUCCCCAGGCGGUAUACUUAACGCGUUCGCUACGGUACUGUCAGGGUUGAGCCUAACAACACCAAGUAUACAUAGUUUAGGGCAAGGACUAC
This 379-nucleotide unclassified non-coding RNA is filed under the name uncultured bacterium. Its description in RNAcentral is "contains 16S-23S intergenic spacer region". The record is from RNAcentral.